CCUACGGGAGGCAGCAGUGAGGAAUAUUGGUCAAUGGCCGUAAGGCUGAACCAGCCAAGUCGCGUGAAGGAAGAAGGAUCUAUGGUUUGUAAACUUCUUUUAUAGGGGAAUAAAGGUAUCCACGUGUGGAUAUUUGCAUGUACCCUAUGAAUAAGCAUCGGCUAACUCCGUGCCAGCAGCCGCGGUAAUACGGAGGAUGCGAGCUUUAUCCGGAUUUAUUGGGUUUAAAGGGUGCGUAGGUUGUUUUUUAAGUCAGCGGUGAAAGUUUGUGGCUCAACCAUAAAAUUGCCGUUGAAACUGGAAGACGUGAGUGUGUUUGAGGUAGGCGGAAUGCGUGGUGUAGCGGUGAAAUGCAUAGAUAUCACGCAGAACUCCGAUUGCGAAGGCAGCUUACUAAGCCAUAACUGACACUGAAGCACGAAAGCGUGGGGAUCAAACAGGAUUAGAUACCCUUGUAGUC
RNAcentral lists this ribosomal RNA (460 nucleotides) under uncultured bacterium. Its description in RNAcentral is "partial 16S ribosomal RNA". It matches the Rfam family "Bacterial small subunit ribosomal RNA", at positions 338 to 795 of the family's 1533-position model. The record is from RNAcentral.